Non-coding RNA from Trichobilharzia regenti, 559 nucleotides. Lineage: Eukaryota; Metazoa; Platyhelminthes; Trematoda; Strigeidida; Schistosomatidae. The record is from Rfam.
UUAGUUAAUCUUUCAUCUCUUUGUCGUCGUUUAUUGAAGUUCAGAUUAUCUAUCUGCAAGCUGUAUCCGCCUACGCAAAGUCUGCUGUCAGUGGCUGUUGAGUCAGUCUUUGUUAUUACUUUUCCCAUGAACAUUGCUUGAGUCUUGAUGUGAUGUGCGAUCCGUCCUGAAGAUCAUAUCAGGUGAGGAGUUUGACUGGGGCGGUACAUCUGUCAAAUGUUAACGCAGGUGUCCUAUGGUGAGCUCAGUCAGGACAGAAACUUGGCGUAGAGUAAAAGGGCAAAAGCUCACUUGAUUUUGAUUUUCAGUACGAAUACAGACCGUGAAAGCGUGGCCUAUCGAUCCUUUUGAUUAUUAUUUUCAGAGUUUGAAGCAAGAGGUGUCAGAAAAGUUACCACAGGGAUAAUUGGCUUGUGGCGGCCAAGUGUUCAUAGUGACGUCCGUUUGUGAUCCUUCGAUGUAGGCUCUCCCUAUCAUUGUGAAGCUGAAUUUACCACGUGUUGGAUUGUCCACCCGGUAAUAGGGAAUGUGAGCUGGGUUUAGACAGUCGUGAGGGUGA